This 471-nucleotide ribosomal RNA is filed under the name uncultured bacterium. RNAcentral describes it as "partial 16S ribosomal RNA". It matches the Rfam family "Bacterial small subunit ribosomal RNA", at positions 330 to 792 of the family's 1533-position model. The record is from RNAcentral.
CCCAGACUCCUACGGGAGGCAGCAGUGGGGAAUCUUCCGCAAUGGGCGCAAGCCUGACGGGGCAAUGCCGCGUGAACGAAGAAGGUCUUCGGAUUGUAAAGUUCUGUCCUUAUCGAAGAGAGGGUAUAGAGUGAAAAAUGAUAUACUAGGACGGUAGAUGAGGAGGAAGCCCCGGCUAACUCCGUGCCAGCAGCCGCGGUAAUACGGAGGGUGCGAGCGUUAAUCGGAAUUACUGGGCGUAAAGCGCUCGUAGGCGGUAUGUCAAGUCAAGGGUGAAAUCCCCGCGCUCAACGUGGGAACUGCCUUUGAAACUGGCAAACUGGAGUGUGUGAGAGGAUAGUGGAAUUCCAGGUGUAGGAGUGAAAUCCGUAGAUAUCUGGAGGAACAUCAGUGGCGAAGGCGACUAUCUGGCACAUAACUGACGCUGAGGAGCGAAAGCGUGGGUAGCAAACAGGAUUAGAUACCCGUGUA